This 1096-nucleotide ribosomal RNA is filed under the name Oceanobacillus sp. NII-12a. RNAcentral describes it as "bacterial SSU rRNA". It matches the Rfam family "Bacterial small subunit ribosomal RNA", at positions 36 to 1095 of the family's 1533-position model. Lineage: Bacteria; Bacillati; Bacillota; Bacilli; Caryophanales; Bacillaceae. The record is from RNAcentral.
CCGGCCCCGCUUUCCUAUACAUGUCAAGUCGAGCGCAGGAAGUUAUCUGAUCCUCUUUUAGAGGUGACGAUAAUGGAAUGAGCGGCGGACGGGUGAGUAACACGUAGGCAACCUGCCUGUAAGACUGGGAUAACUCGUGGAAACGCGAGCUAAUACCGGAUAACACUUUUCAUCUCCUGAUGAGAAGUUGAAAGGCGGCUUUUGCUGUCACUUACAGAUGGGCCUGCGGCGCAUUAGCUAGUUGGUAAGGUAAUGGCUUACCAAGGCGACGAUGCGUAGCCGACCUGAGAGGGUGAUCGGCCACACUGGGACUGAGACACGGCCCAGACUCCUACGGGAGGCAGCAGUAGGGAAUCUUCCGCAAUGGACGAAAGUCUGACGGAGCAACGCCGCGUGAGUGAUGAAGGUUUUCGGAUCGUAAAACUCUGUUGUUAGGGAAGAACAAGUGCCAUAGUAACUGAUGGCACCUUGACGGUACCUAACCAGAAAGCCACGGCUAACUACGUGCCAGCAGCCGCGGUAAUACGUAGGUGGCAAGCGUUGUCCGGAAUUAUUGGGCGUAAAGCGCUCGCAGGCGGUUCUUUAAGUCUGAUGUGAAAUCUUACGGCUCAACCGUAAACGUGCAUUGGAAACUGGGGAACUUGAGUGCAGAAGAGGAGAGUGGAAUUCCACGUGUAGCGGUGAAAUGCGUAGAGAUGUGGAGGAACACCAGUGGCGAAGGCGACUCUCUGGUCUGUAACUGACGCUGAGGAGCGAAAGCGUGGGGAGCGAACAGGAUUAGAUACCCUGGUAGUCCACGCCGUAAACGAUGAGUGCUAGGUGUUAGGGGGUUUCCGCCCCUUAGUGCUGAAGUUAACGCAUUAAGCACUCCGCCUGGGGAGUACGGCCGCAAGGCUGAACUCAAAAGAAUUGACGGGGGCCCGCACAAGCGGUGGAGCAUGUGGUUUAAUUCGAAGCAACGCGAAGAACCUUACCAGGUCUUGACAUCCUCUGAACACUCUAGAGAUAGAGUUUUCCCUUCGGGGACAGAGUGACAGGUGGUGCAUGGUUGUCGUCAGCUCGUGUCGUGAGAUGUUGGGUUAAGUCCUCGCAACGG